RNAcentral lists this ribosomal RNA (1520 nucleotides) under Atlantolacerta andreanskyi. RNAcentral's name for it is "partial large subunit ribosomal RNA". It matches the Rfam family "Bacterial large subunit ribosomal RNA", at positions 253 to 2830 of the family's 2925-position model. The record is from RNAcentral. Lineage: Eukaryota; Metazoa; Chordata; Lepidosauria; Squamata; Lacertidae.
GCUAAACCCAGCUGAUCAACCCCACAAAACAUCAAUUAAGUUUAAUCAAAUCAUUUGUCCAGGGUAGUAAUUGAGAUUAAACACCACCACUCAGCCCAAAGUAAGUACCGCAAGGGAACAAUGAAAGAACAAUGAAAAACUUAAGCAUAACACAGCAAAGAUAAGCCCUUGUACCUUCUGCAUCAUGGUUCAGCAAAACAUCCUCAGACAAAGAGAACUUAAGUCUAUUUUCCCGAAACCAAACGAGCUAUUUCUAGGCAGCAUCUAUGAGCACACCCGUCCCUGUAGCAAAAGGGUGGGAAGACCUAAAAAUAGAGGUAAAAAACCAACCGAGCUUGGUGAUAGCUGGCUACUCAAAAAAGAAUUUAAGUUCAACCCUAAGUUUACUAAAGCAUAUAAAACUUCGACCCUUAUACCUAGGGAAAAUCAACAGGGGUACAGCCCUGUUGAUCCGGAAUACAACCCGAACCGAGAGACCUUCCCCUUUUAAAACCCCAGUAGGCCUCAAAGCAGCCACCAAAACAACCGCGUUAAAGCCUAGGUUAACUAGAUCCGAAAAGCAUAACCACCCUCCUGAUUCUACUUCGAGUUAUUUUAUACAAAUAUAAAAGCACUAAUGCUGAAACUAGUAAUAAGAAAACUUCUCUCAGCACAUCUUUAAAUCAGAAUAGAAAAACUACUGAUAAUUAACAGACACGACAAACACUCACAAGCCAUAGUGUCACCCACUCACUGUUACCCCAACACAGGUGUGCAAAAAAGAAAGGCCUAUAACUACAAAAGGAACUCGGCAACAAACCUAGUCCCAACUGUUUACCAAAAACAUAGCCUUUAGCUUAACAAGUAUUAAAGGUCCCGCCUGCCCAGUGACCCCUUCAACGGCCGCGGUAUCCUAACCGUGCAAAGGUAGCAUAAUCACUUGUCCUUUAAAUAAGGACUAGAAUGAACGGCUAAAUGAGGACUAAACUGUCUCUUGUAGUUGACCAAUGAAACUGAUCUUACAGUCCAAAAGCUGUAAUAAACACACAAGACGAGAAGACCCUGUGGAGCUUUAAAACCAAGCCUCAAUCAUUUUGUUGUCCUUGGUUUUUAGUUGGGGCGACUUCGGAGUACAAAAAAACCCCCGAUAUGGAACCUCCCACAUCAAGGUUAACACACCAAAAUUAAUCUUGACCCAGUAAUACUUAUAUUAUCUGAUCAACGAACCAAGUUACCCCAGGGAUAACAGCGCCAUCCCCUUCUAGAGUCCCUAUCGACAAGGGGGUUUACGACCUCGAUGUUGGAUCAGGACACCCAAAUAGUGCAGCCGCUAUUAAAGGUUCGUUUGUUCAACGAUUAAUAGUCCUACGUGAUCUGAGUUCAGACCGGAGAAAUCCAGGUCGGUUUCUAUCUGUGCAACGCUACCCCUAGUACGAAAGGACCGGGGUAGCAGGACCAAUACUAAAAGAAUGUCCUACCAAAAACUACUGACUCCCUCUAAAGUAGCCAGCACAGCCCCCCCCAACCCUAAAUUAGGGAUU